This 366-nucleotide long non-coding RNA is filed under the name Vigna radiata. Its description in RNAcentral is "long non-coding RNA (VRAD_LNC001774)". The record is from RNAcentral. Lineage: Eukaryota; Viridiplantae; Streptophyta; Magnoliopsida; Fabales; Fabaceae.
GUAUGAAAACCCUUGUUUGAUUGGGUUGAGAAUAAUUAUAUGUGUUGAAAAGGUUCAAGUUUGGGGUUGAAUGGGGAAAGUGAAAGGUAAAAGAAAAGAAAAGCAUUGAGUUCAAAAGAAUGAAAAAGAAAAAUGCAUGUGAGAAGAAAAGAAAAGAAGAAAAGAGAAAAAUCAUGUGAAGUGAACUCAAUGUAAAAGGAAAAAGGGAAAAAGUUGGGAAUAAGUGAGAUUGGUUAAAAAAGAGAGUGUGCUUGAACUUUGAAUGAUGAUUAAAACUCUCUUAACUCAAGGAUUUUGUAUUCCAGAAAAACCAAUUUUCUUGAUUGCCCAGCCACAAUACAAGCCUUGGAAAAAGUCCUUGUGAUG